Molecule: long non-coding RNA, 421 nt
Organism: Daphnia magna
Lineage: Eukaryota; Metazoa; Arthropoda; Branchiopoda; Diplostraca; Daphniidae
Exons: 2
Source: RefSeq, a predicted model, not a curated record
AUCCGGUUCAUUUACAAACACUAUAACUGAUUCUGCGCUUUCAGAAAUGCUGGACAAAACAUAGCCGCAUCCAAGUGCGCUAUCCAGUAAUGGUCCUGGAUGGAUGGGAAAGUUCAAGGAAGCGAGGCAGUCCACCUUCUUUGCCCGUUAGCCAGAACGUAUCCUAUUUCCAGCGACAAAAACGCGACAGCCCAAAGAGGAAGAAGGCGGGCCAAGGAGGAUCCGGAAAGUCAACGCCAAGCAGACACGGUCCACAGUGCGUGGAUGUAUUCCAAGAGAAAAGAGAAGCGAUAGACGACAAGAAGGAAGAAGAGAAACAAAAAAUUGCUGUCGUUAAUAAUAGACGCGACUACACACGACGAAGCGCGAGGUCGUACAAAUCUAUGUAUAGAUAAUAAUAAAAUAAACUUGCUUACCAUCA